Long non-coding RNA from Nicotiana tabacum (common tobacco), 715 nucleotides. RefSeq lists it as uncharacterized. The record is from RefSeq and is a predicted model, not a curated record. Lineage: Eukaryota; Viridiplantae; Streptophyta; Magnoliopsida; Solanales; Solanaceae.
ACAAAGGGAUAGAUCUGAAAAUAGAGAGAAGGGGGAGGGGGCAAAAAUAGAGACAAAAAAGAAAGAGAGAUAGACGGAACAGACCCCUCUUCGACAGAGAACCCUAGCGCCGCCCCUAUCUCACUCUCAUUCUUUCACUCCCACACCCUCCUCUCAUCACACACGCGAAAAGGCACUCAAUAUAGGCUAGAAACAAAACUUUCAAAAGCUCAAAAUUCUUAAAGUGCUAUUUGAAGUUCCGAAAAAAAGGAAAUUAGCUAAAAAUACAUAGGAUUGAGAUCUGAAAUAAAAAAAAAAACAGUAAUGAAAGGGAAUUUCAAAAUAAUUCUAUCUCCUACUGUUCACUCUGCAUCUCCUGGGCUAUCAACGCCUCGAGAGUUGUUGUGGGUUUUUUGAGCUUUUCCGAUCUUAGUCGUCGGUUCGAGUUCUUGUCGCAGUUCGACUUGCCGUUUCUGAAAUUUUAAAGCUCCGGUGGAACUUCUAAUGUUAUUGAAGAGAAUUGUUCAAUAAAAGGUUCGAUACGCUCGGAGGCCGAUUCGCGAGGCAGGGGCAUAUUGGAAUAAAGAAUUACACGAUUUGAGGUACUUCCGGAAAUGACGGUUGCCAGAUUUGAGGAUUUAUCUGUUGGAGACUAUCAAGGUAGUUGCUUGGCGUCCGCAGGCCUUGACUCUCUUUCCUUUCAGUUAUUGUACUGUUCUAUAUUUUCAGACAGUAU